ACAUACGACCACAGGAUCCUGAAUACAGCGCUUCCCGUUCGCUCAGCGGUACUUAAGCAGGAUACCGGCGGAUUAGUACGAAAGUUGGUGACAAUUUCGGAAUCCCCGCUGUUGUAUGUU
Molecule: ribosomal RNA, 120 nt
Organism: Paraphaeosphaeria sporulosa
Lineage: Eukaryota; Fungi; Ascomycota; Dothideomycetes; Pleosporales; Didymosphaeriaceae
Source: Rfam